GAUGAACGCUGGCGGCGUGCCUAAUACAUGCAAGUCGAGCGAACAGACGAUGAUCUUGCUCCUCUGACGUUAGCGGCGGAGGUGUGAGUAACACGUGUAUAACCUACCUAUAAUACUGGGAUAACUUCGGGAAACCGGAGCUAAUACCGUAUAAGAUAUUGAACCGCAUGGGGCGAUAGUGAAAUACGGUGUUUGGGGCACUUAUAGAUGGAUCCGCGCCGCAUUAGCUAGUUGGUAAGGUAACGGCUUACCAAGGCAACGAUGCGUAUCCGAACUGAGAGAGUGAUCGGCCACACUGGAACUGAGACACGGUCAAGACUCCUACGAGAGGCCGCAGUAGGGAAUCUUACGCAAUGGGGGAAAGCCUGACGGAGCAACGCCGCGCGAGUGAUGAAGGUCUUCGGAUCGUAAAACUCUGUUAUUAGGGAAGAACAAAUGUGUAAGUAAAUAUGCACGUCUUGACGGUAACUAAUAAGAAAGCAACGGCUAACUACGUG
RNAcentral lists this ribosomal RNA (497 nucleotides) under uncultured bacterium. RNAcentral describes it as "partial 16S ribosomal RNA". It matches the Rfam family "Bacterial small subunit ribosomal RNA", at positions 28 to 507 of the family's 1533-position model. The record is from RNAcentral.